Molecule: ribosomal RNA, 429 nt
Filed under: bacterium
Lineage: Bacteria
Description: partial 16S ribosomal RNA
Rfam family: Bacterial small subunit ribosomal RNA
Source: RNAcentral
UAGGGAAUCUUCCACAAUGGACGCAAGUCUGAUGGAGCAACGCCGCGUGAGUGAAGAAGGUUUUCGGAUCGUAAAGCUCUGUUGUUGGUGAAGAAGGAUAGAGGCAGUAACUGGUCUUUAUUUGACGGUAAUCAACCAGAAAGUCACGGCUAACUACGUGCCAGCAGCCGCGGUAAUACGUAGGUGGCAAGCGUUGUCCGGAUUUAUUGGGCGUAAAGCGAGCGCAGGCGGAAUGAUAAGUCUGAUGUGAAAGCUCACGGCUCAACCGUGGAACUGCAUCGGAAACUGUCAUUCUUGAGUGCAGAAGAGGAGAGUGGAAUUCCAUGUGUAGCGGUGGAAUGCGUAGAUAUAUGGAAGAACACCAGUGGCGAAGGCGGCUCUCUGGUCUGCAACUGACGCUGAGGCUCGAAAGCAUGGGUAGCGAACAGG